Rattus norvegicus (Norway rat) is the source of this 843-nucleotide long non-coding RNA. RefSeq lists it as uncharacterized. NCBI's taxonomy places the organism in Eukaryota, Metazoa, Chordata, Mammalia, Rodentia, Muridae. The record is from RefSeq and is a predicted model, not a curated record.
GGGAAGCGUUAACUCUCAGGAGAGCCAUUAGCCCUGCCCAAGAGUAAAGAGGAAGCCUCCCCACCUCCUCCAGGUUCCUCCUUCCAACACUUCCCCCGGAAGCCUCUGCAGAGUCCAGUUUCCAGAACCACCGGCACUUUCCCACGUAAGGCUCGUGGUGCAGAGUGGACACAGAGGGCUCCGGUCUGGUAGAUUCCGCACCUGUUUAGUGUGGCCCCAGAGCGGGGCUGGGGCUGUGUAUUCUAUACACAGGAAGACACGGGUGGACUGAACUUUCUGAGCACCGAGGCCUGCUCUGGGAUGACAGGGUUCCAAUGGCAGGAACUGGGCUCUCGUAGAUGAGCCAGCUGAUUCUGGAGGCUAUCGAAGCCUGUGAAGAGGCUCUCACACAUCCUGAGAUAAAGUACCCAACCUCUCCUCCACACCAUGGGCCAAUUUGAAAAGAUCCUGCGAGCAAAAGGAAGAGAUCCUCAGAGGAGCAGAAGGCAAGAUAUGCAGCUCCUACCUGCGUGUUGUUAGAGAGAAAGAGACAGAGGCAGGAGGUGGCACAGCGGCCAGCACCAGCCCGGAUUGAAGCUGUCUUUCAGCAAUGGACAAGAGGCGACUUUGCCAUCAAACAGCCUCUUUGCAUUCUUCACCCAACUCAGCUUAGUGAUGGCCCCUGACACUUAGCUCUCUACGCUUUCCGGAAAUGAAGGCUCUUAAAUUUCUCUCCCUCUUGCAGUGCUAAAGUCUACCCCUGUGACCUCAUGAGCUCCUGUUGAAACUCGAAUUUGAGAUCCCACUCUGUAGUGAUGAUUAAAAAACAAAUCAGUGCUGCUCGCACUGACUGGUUUCCACUCA